AUGCCCAUAGAACACGAAGACCAGGGGAUGAAUUUAUGUAAAAUGUCAAUAUUUAUCCUUGGAAUGGCGUAUACAAAUGAGGCACGGUCAGCGGAUCAACUGUCAAGACGAACCAGGGCUGCUGCAGCUACAAUUAAUGCGACAGCACCUGAUAAAAGGAUAAUGGACGGCGCGAUACAGGCUACAUUAUGGCAGACUGUAGAUUACCCUCCUAUAAUCGACGAGGCCCUAGGGACUAUAUUAUGCAUACUCCCAAAUGGCACGUAUAACCCGGAUGCUCCCAUUGCUGCGUUGGCCAGCAUCGACCACCUUCAAGCAAACUAUCAUCUGUCUCAAGUAGCUAGUGCCUUGCUGGAUCAGGCCAGGUUGAUAUACCUCAAUCACCAUGCCACGUCAAUAAACUUCAUACCUGCGUUGAUUCCGGCCCUGCAGGAAGCGGGUCAUCUGAAUCACGCUUACCUAGUUGAAGAGCUCGCACAUUACCAGUCAAUCCAAGAGUCUUUAAACUCGUCCCCAUACAACGGGCUGCGGGCUAACAUCCCCGAUAAGUACCAGAUCCGGUCUAUGCCGCGCCUAGUCUAUGGAGCGAUACUCUACUACAAGGAGUCUCUUGAAACUGAAGACGAGCGGCGAUUGUUUGAAGAGUACAAAACGAAAGAGAUAAAAAACCACAUCACCCAAAAAGACGUGCAGGUCUUUGGAGAAAAUUUGAUCACUACACUACCGAAACCCUCCCUGACCACUGUGGUCAACCUAGUGGCCAAAUUGUCAAUUGAAAGGGCACGAGUCCUCCUAGCCUCUAAGACCCCUGAAUUUAGGGACACAGUUUUAGAAAUGUUACGAAGUCAUCAGCACCCAGGACCCUGGGCAACCGAGAUCAUAGAAAGGGAGGAUGCGGAAGUUCAACGCACGUUAGUCAAGGAGGCCAAGGACUUACUGCGAGCCAAAUUGGAUGUUAAAUACAACCACCUUAGACAAGGAGUGGAGUUACUAAUGGAUAAAGAACGGGCUCACAGCCUCCAAGUGUGA
RNAcentral lists this long non-coding RNA (1029 nucleotides) under Bemisia tabaci. RNAcentral describes it as "lncRNA ENSSSA1NGG006337". The record is from RNAcentral. Lineage: Eukaryota; Metazoa; Arthropoda; Insecta; Hemiptera; Aleyrodidae.